GAUGAACGCUGGCGGCGUGCUUAACACAUGCAAGUCGAACGGGAUCGGCUGGAGCUUGCUCCGGCCGUGAGAGUGGCGAACGGGUGAGUAAUGCGUGACCGACCUGCCCCAUACACCGGAAUAGCUCCUGGAAACGGGUGGUAAUGCCGGAUGCUCCAGUUGGAUGCAUGUCCUUCUGGGAAAGAUUCUAUCGGUAUGGGAUGGGGUCGCGUCCUAUCAGGUAGUCGGCGGGGUAACGGCCCACCGAGCCUACGACGGGUAGCCGGCCUGAGAGGGCGACCGGCCACAUUGGGACUGAGAUACGGCCCAGACUCCUACGGGAGGCAGCAGUGGGGAAUAUUGCACAAUGGGCGCAAGCCUGAUGCAGCGACGCCGCGUGCGGGAUGACGGCCUUCGGGUUGUAAACCGCUUUUGACUGGGAGCAAGCCCUUCGGGGUGAGUGUAC
Molecule: ribosomal RNA, 445 nt
Filed under: uncultured bacterium
Lineage: Bacteria
Description: bacterial SSU rRNA
Rfam family: Bacterial small subunit ribosomal RNA
Source: RNAcentral